RNAcentral lists this ribosomal RNA (426 nucleotides) under Triticum aestivum (bread wheat). Its description in RNAcentral is "partial small subunit ribosomal RNA". Lineage: Eukaryota; Viridiplantae; Streptophyta; Magnoliopsida; Poales; Poaceae. The record is from RNAcentral.
AUGGAUUUCAAGGAAUUUAACUAUGAAAAUUGCUCUUUGAUUGAUUGUAUUUCCUUGUUGCAAUCCGUGCUAAAUUCUCCUCACGCUUAUAGUCAAAAUAAAGCGUUUACUAAACAUAUCGUUGAUGCCUUGAUGCAAUCUUAUGAAGAAAAACUUGACUUGGAAGUUUAUAUCCCUAGAAAACUUUAUGAUGAGUGGGAACCAACUAUUAAAAUUAAAAUUAAAGAUCAUGAAUGCUAUGCUUUAUGUGAUUUGGGUGCUAGUGUUUCCAUGAUUCCAAAGACUUUGUGUGAUUUGUUAGGUUUCCGUGAUUUUGAUGAUUGCUCUCUAAACUUGCACCUUGCGAAUUCCACUAUUAAGAAACCUAUGGGAAGAAUUAAUGAUGUUCUUAUUGUUGCAAAUAGGAAUUAUGUGCCUGUAGAUUAA